UUUUUUAAUUGAAAACUUGUAUGAAUGGUUGAAUGAAAUAUAUUCUGUUUCAUAAAAAUUUUAUUAAAAUUUUAUUUUUUAGUUAAAAAGCUAAAAUUAAAUUAUAAGACGAGAAGACCCUAUAAAGUUUUAUAUAUUUAUUUAAAUAAUUUAUAUGGUUAUUUUUAUAUUUUUUAAAUAAAUUUAUUUUAUUGGGGUGAUAAUAAAAUUUAAUUAACUUUUAUUUUUAAAAACAUAAAUUAAUGAAUUUAAAUGAUCCUUUAUUAAUGAUUAAAAAUUUAAAUUACUUUAGGGAUAACAGCGUAAUUUUUUUUUUAAGUUCAAAUUUAUAAAAAAGUUUGC
Molecule: ribosomal RNA, 342 nt
Filed under: unidentified
Description: Ctenoceridion freemani partial 16S ribosomal RNA
Source: RNAcentral